Molecule: ribosomal RNA, 253 nt
Filed under: uncultured bacterium
Lineage: Bacteria
Description: partial 16S ribosomal RNA
Rfam family: Bacterial small subunit ribosomal RNA
Source: RNAcentral
UACGUAGGUGGCAAGCGUUGUCCGGAUUUACUGGGCGUAAAGAGCGCGCAGGCGGUCGUUCAAGUCGCGUGUGAAAGCCCCCGGCUCAACUGGGGAGGGUCACGCGAUACUGAUCGACUCGAAGGCAGGAGAGGGAAGUGGAAUUCCCGGUGUAGUGGUGAAAUGCGUAGAUAUCGGGAGGAACACCAGUGCCGAAGGCGACUUCCUGGCCUGUUCUUGACGCUGAGGCGCGAAAGCUAGGGGAGCAAACGGG